Molecule: long non-coding RNA, 699 nt
Filed under: Olea europaea subsp. europaea
Lineage: Eukaryota; Viridiplantae; Streptophyta; Magnoliopsida; Lamiales; Oleaceae
Source: RNAcentral
CUUUUCUUAAACAAUUCCUACAGGUAAAUUAGAUUACUAGCCAUGUGUGUUUACAUAGUUGCUUAUAUUUUUUACUUUACGUUACAUUCUUGUUCUGUGCAUUUUGAUAUAGGUGGCCAUCUUAAGAGAGAUGAAUUAAUUUGGGAUUUUGAAAGACAUAAUUGAGUUGGAUUAAGGAGGUGGCAAAGAUGUGUUGAUUGAAUCAUUGAAUGCAAUAGGGUGUUAAAAGGCAAGGGGUUAAAGCAGGACGAUAAGCCAUUUGCCUUUGCAUUUCAAAUGGAGCUAAUAUUUUAGAUGGACAAUCCCAGUGAUAAAGACUGGCAUGUUUUUAUGAAAAUCGUUCAGAGAGAUCAAUUUGAUGAUUAAAAGACUAGUCAGCUGAUAUAUACGAUGCAGCACACUAUGUCAAACCGAGAAUAUAGAGAAGGACAAGAGGAGAGACGAAGAUGAAGAAACAAAGAGAAUUUGAAAGGAGAAUGGGGAAGAACUAGAGGAGAAAAUUUCAGGAUGUUGUAUUUAAUAUUCAAUCAUGCAUUUUACAAUGAACUCGAUUACUUAGCCAUAGUUUGAUGGCCAUUAUUUGGCAAAAACUCUGUUUUAAAUUGUAAGUUUUUGGAGAAUGCGUGUUUAAAAAGUAGGAAAAAUUUUUGGGUUUAUGUGCAAAAUAUUUUAUUGUGUGAAUAUAUUAUUAAAAACGAG